ACACAUGCAAGUCGAACGAGAAUCUACUGAAGGAGGAUUCGUCCAACGGAAGUAGAGGAAAGUGGCGGACGGGUGAGUAACGCGUGAGGAACCUGCCUUGAAGAGGGGGACAACAGUUGGAAACGACUGCUAAUACCGCAUGAUGCAUAGGGGUCGCAUGAUCUUUAUGCCAAAGAUUUAUCGCUUCAAGAUGGCCUCGCGUCUGAUUAGCUGGUUGGCGGGGUAACGGCCCACCAAGGCGACGAUCAGUAGCCGGACUGAGAGGUUGAACGGCCACAUUGGGACUGAGAUACGGCCCAGACUCCUACGGGAGGCAGCAGUGGGGAAUAUUGGGCAAUGGGCGCAAGCCUGACCCAGCAACGCCGCGUGAAGGAAGAAGGCUUUCGGGUUGUAAACUUCUUUUAAGAGGGAAGAGCAGAAGACGGUACCUCUAGAAUAAGCCACGGCUAACUACGUGCCAGCAGCCGCGGUAAUACGUAGGUGGCAAGCGUUGUCCGGAUUUACUGGGUGUAAAGGGCGUGCAGCCGGGUCUGCAAGUCAGAUGUGAAAUCCAUGGGCUCAACCCAUGAACUGCAUUUGAAACUGUAGAUCUUGAGUGUCGGAGGGGCAAUCGGAAUUCCUAGUGUAGCGGUGAAAUGCGUAGAUAUUAGGAGGAACACCAGUGGCGAAGGCGGAUUGCUGGACGAUAACUGACGGUGAGGCGCGAAAGUGUGGGGAGCAAACAGGAUUAGAUACCCUGGUAGUCCACACUGUAAACGAUGAAUACUAGGUGUGCGGGGACUGACCCCCUGCGUGCCGCAGUAAACACAAUAAGUAUUCCACCUGGGGAGUACGAUCGCAAGGUUGAAACUCAA
Molecule: ribosomal RNA, 854 nt
Filed under: uncultured bacterium
Lineage: Bacteria
Description: bacterial SSU rRNA
Rfam family: Bacterial small subunit ribosomal RNA
Source: RNAcentral